UCGCCUGUUUUACAAAAACAUGUCCUUUUGAGUUUUAUUUAAGGUCUGACCUGCCCUAUGAGAAAUUAAAUGGCCGCGGUAUUUUAACCGUGCAAAGGUAGCAUAGUCACUUGUCUCUUAAUUGGAGGCUUGAAUGAAGGGUUGGACGAGAUAUAAACUUUCUUUAUUGUAAUUAGUUGAAUUUGACUUUUAAGUCAAAAGGCUUAAAUUUAUUUAUAGGACGAGAAGACCCUAUAGAAUUUUAUAUUUUUAUUUUAAUAAUUUAUUUGUUUAUGAUUAAGUUUUUUAUAUAAGAAUAUUUUGUUGGGGCGAUAGGAAGAUUUUUAUAACUCUUUUUUAUUUAAUACAUUGAUAUAUGUUUUUUGAUCCUUUUAUAGAGAUUAAAAGAUUAAAUUACCUUAGGGAUAACAGCGUAAUUCUUUUGGAGAGUUCUUAUCGAUAAAGGAGUUUGCGACCUCGAUGUGGAUUAAAA
Molecule: ribosomal RNA, 472 nt
Filed under: Belostoma ribeiroi
Lineage: Eukaryota; Metazoa; Arthropoda; Insecta; Hemiptera; Belostomatidae
Description: partial 16S ribosomal RNA
Rfam family: Bacterial large subunit ribosomal RNA
Source: RNAcentral